RNAcentral lists this transfer RNA (66 nucleotides) under Hiratettix distanti. RNAcentral's name for it is "tRNA-Ile". RNAcentral also lists the same sequence under 2 other names. The record is from RNAcentral. Lineage: Eukaryota; Metazoa; Arthropoda; Insecta; Hemiptera; Cicadellidae.
AGUGGGAUGCCUGAAAAAAGGAUUAUUUUGAUAGAAUAAAUUAUGCAUAAAUUUACGCUUCCAUUG